UCUGGUGACCAAGCGGCUGGAUCCCACCCGUUCCCAUCCCGAACACGGUCGUAAAGACAGCUUGCGGCGAAACUACUUGGCGGAUGACCGCCUGGGAAGAUAGCUAGUUGCCAGAUU
Molecule: ribosomal RNA, 117 nt
Filed under: Clostridium sp. K4410.MGS-306
Lineage: Bacteria; Bacillati; Bacillota; Clostridia; Eubacteriales; Clostridiaceae
Source: RNAcentral